Molecule: ribosomal RNA, 465 nt
Filed under: uncultured bacterium
Lineage: Bacteria
Description: partial 16S ribosomal RNA
Rfam family: Bacterial small subunit ribosomal RNA
Source: RNAcentral
GACGAACGCUGGCGGCGUGCUUAACACAUGCAAGUCGAACGGAAAGGCCCUGCUUGCAGGGUACUCGUGUGGCGAACGGGUGAGUAACACGUGGGUGAUCUGCCCUGCACUUCGGGAUAAGCCUGGGAAACUGGGUCUAAUACCGGAUAGGAGCCAUUUUUAGUGUGAUGGUUGGAAAGUUUUUUCGGUGUAGGAUGAGCUCGCGGCCUAUCAGCUUGUUGGUGGGGUAAUGGCCUACCAAGGCGGCGACGGGUAGCCGGCCUGAGAGGGUGGACGGCCACAUUGGGACUGAGAUACGGCCCAGACUCCUACGGGAGGCAGCAGUGGGGAAUAUUGCACAAUGGGCGCAAGCCUGAUGCAGCGACGCCGCGUGGGGGAUGACGGCCUUCGGGUUGUAAACUCCUUUCGCUAGGGACGAAGCUUUUUGUGACGGUACCUAGAUAAGAAGCACCGGCUAACUACGUG